Molecule: unclassified non-coding RNA, 485 nt
Filed under: uncultured Golovinomyces
Lineage: Eukaryota; Fungi; Ascomycota; Leotiomycetes; Helotiales; Erysiphaceae
Description: sequence contains 18S rRNA gene, ITS1, 5.8S rRNA gene, ITS2 and 28S rRNA gene
Rfam family: 5.8S ribosomal RNA (bases 256-408)
Source: RNAcentral
UUGGUCAUUUAGAGGAAGUAAAAGUCGUAACAAGGUUUCCGUAGGUGAACCUGCGGAAGGAUCAUUACAGAGCGUGAGACUUGGCCCGGGCGUGUCCCGCGUGUCGAGUCGACCCUCCACCCGUGUUGACUUUAUCUGUUGCUUUGGCGGGCCCGGUGCCUAGCGCCGACCGGCUUCGUGCUGGCUCGCGUCCGCCAAAGACCCAACCUAACUCGUGUUGUCGUGUAGUCUGAGGAAGGAAGAUAGAAUUGUUAAAACUUUCAACAACGGAUCUCUUGGCUCUGGCAUCGAUGAAGAACGCAGCGAAAUGCGAUAAGUAAUGUGAAUUGCAGAAUUUAGUGAAUCAUCGAAUCUUUGAACGCACAUUGCGCCCCUUGGUAUUCCGAGGGGCAUGCCUGUCGAGCGUCGUCACACCCCCUCAAGCCCCCGUGUGUGUGGUUGGGUUGGGGCUCGUCCGUCGGGCGGCCCUUAAAGACAGUGGCGGU